UUAAGCGACUAAGCGUACACGGUGGAUGCCCUGGCAGUCAGAGGCGAUGAAGGACGUGCUAAUCUGCGAUAAGCGUCGGUAAGGUGAUAUGAACCGUUAUAACCGGCGAUUUCCGAAUGGGGAAACCCAGUGUGAUUCGUCACACUAUCAUUAACUGAAUCCAUAGGUUAAUGAGGCGAACCGGGGGAACUGAAACAUCUAAGUACCCCGAGGAAAAGAAAUCAACCGAGAUUCCCCCAGUAGCGGCGAGCGAACGGGGAGCAGCCCAGAGCCUGAAUCAGUGUGUGUGUUAGUGGAAGCGUCUGGAAAGGCGCGCGAUACAGGGUGACAGCCCCGUACACAAAAAUGCACAUAUUGUGAGCUCGAUGAGUAGGGCGGGACACGUGGUAUCCUGUCUGAAUAUGGGGGGACCAUCCUCCAAGGCUAAAUACUCCUGACUGACCGAUAGUGAACCAGUACCGUGAGGGAAAGGCGAAAAGAACCCCGGCGAGGGGAGUGAAAAAGAACCUGAAACCGUGUACGUACAAGCAGUGGGAGCACGCUUAGGCGUGUGACUGCGUACCUUUUGUAUAAUGGGUCAGCGACUUAUAUUCUGUAGCAAGGUUAACCGAAUAGGGGAGCCGAAGGGAAACCGAGUCUUAACUGGGCGUUAAGUUGCAGGGUAUAGACCCGAAACCCGGUGAUCUAGCCAUGGGCAGGUUGAAGGUUGGGUAACACUAACUGGAGGACCGAACCGACUAAUGUUGAAAAAUUAGCGGAUGACUUGUGGCUGGGGGUGAAAGGCCAAUCAAACCGGGAGAUAGCUGGUUCUCCCCGAAAGCUAUUUAGGUAGCGCCUCGUGAAUUCAUCUCCGGGGGUAGAGCACUGUUUCGGCAAGGGGGUCAUCCCGACUUACCAACCCGAUGCAAACUGCGAAUACCGGAGAAUGUUAUCACGGGAGACACACGGCGGGUGCUAACGUCCGUCGUGAAGAGGGAAACAACCCAGACCGCCAGCUAAGGUCCCAAAGUCAUGGUUAAGUGGGAAACGAUGUGGGAAGGCCCAGACAGCCAGGAUGUUGGCUUAGAAGCAGCCAUCAUUUAAAGAAAGCGUAAUAGCUCACUGGUCGAGUCGGCCUGCGCGGAAGAUGUAACGGGGCUAAACCAUGCACCGAAGCUGCGGCAGCGACGCUGAUGCGUUGUUGGGUAGGGGAGCGUUCUGUAAGCCUGUGAAGGUGUACUGUGAGGUAUGCUGGAGGUAUCAGAAGUGCGAAUGCUGACAUAAGUAACGAUAAAGCGGGUGAAAAGCCCGCUCGCCGGAAGACCAAGGGUUCCUGUCCAACGUUAAUCGGGGCAGGGUGAGUCGACCCCUAAGGCGAGGCCGAAAGGCGUAGUCGAUGGGAAACAGGUUAAUAUUCCUGUACUUGGUGUUACUGCGAAGGGGGGACGGAGAAGGCUAUGUUGGCCGGGCGACGGUUGUCCCGGUUUAAGCGUGUAGGCUGGUUUUCCAGGCAAAUCCGGAAAAUCAAGGCUGAGGCGUGAUGACGAGGCACUACGGUGCUGAAGCAACAAAUGCCCUGCUUCCAGGAAAAGCCUCUAAGCAUCAGGUAACAUCAAAUCGUACCCCAAACCGACACAGGUGGUCAGGUAGAGAAUACCAAGGCGCUUGAGAGAACUCGGGUGAAGGAACUAGGCAAAAUGGUGCCGUAACUUCGGGAGAAGGCACGCUGAUAUGUAGGUGAAGUCCCUCGCGGAUGGAGCUGAAAUCAGUCGAAGAUACCAGCUGGCUGCAACUGUUUAUUAAAAACACAGCACUGUGCAAACACGAAAGUGGACGUAUACGGUGUGACGCCUGCCCGGUGCCGGAAGGUUAAUUGAUGGGGUUAGCGCAAGCGAAGCUCUUGAUCGAAGCCCCGGUAAACGGCGGCCGUAACUAUAACGGUCCUAAGGUAGCGAAAUUCCUUGUCGGGUAAGUUCCGACCUGCACGAAUGGCGUAAUGAUGGCCAGGCUGUCUCCACCCGAGACUCAGUGAAAUUGAACUCGCUGUGAAGAUGCAGUGUACCCGCGGCAAGACGGAAAGACCCCGUGAACCUUUACUAUAGCUUGACACUGAACAUUGAGCCUUGAUGUGUAGGAUAGGUGGGAGGCUUUGAAGUGUGGACGCCAGUCUGCAUGGAGCCGACCUUGAAAUACCACCCUUUAAUGUUUGAUGUUCUAACGUUGACCCGUAAUCCGGGUUGCGGACAGUGUCUGGUGGGUAGUUUGACUGGGGCGGUCUCCUCCUAAAGAGUAACGGAGGAGCACGAAGGUUGGCUAAUCCUGGUCGGACAUCAGGAGGUUAGUGCAAUGGCAUAAGCCAGCUUGACUGCGAGCGUGACGGCGCGAGCAGGUGCGAAAGCAGGUCAUAGUGAUCCGGUGGUUCUGAAUGGAAGGGCCAUCGCUCAACGGAUAAAAGGUACUCCGGGGAUAACAGGCUGAUACCGCCCAAGAGUUCAUAUCGACGGCGGUGUUUGGCACCUCGAUGUCGGCUCAUCACAUCCUGGGGCUGAAGUAGGUCCCAAGGGUAUGGCUGUUCGCCAUUUAAAGUGGUACGCGAGCUGGGUUUAGAACGUCGUGAGACAGUUCGGUCCCUAUCUGCCGUGGGCGCUGGAGAACUGAGGGGGGCUGCUCCUAGUACGAGAGGACCGGAGUGGACGCAUCACUGGUGUUCGGGUUGUCAUGCCAAUGGCACUGCCCGGUAGCUAAAUGCGGAAGAGAUAAGUGCUGAAAGCAUCUAAGCACGAAACUUGCCCCGAGAUGAGUUCUCCCUGACCCUUUAAGGGUCCUGAAGGAACGUUGAAGACGACGACGUUGAUAGGCCGGGUGUGUAAGCGCAGCGAUGCGUUGAGCUAACCGGUACUAAUGAACCGUGAGGCUUAACCUU
RNAcentral lists this ribosomal RNA (2902 nucleotides) under Escherichia coli O104:H4 str. C236-11. RNAcentral's name for it is "bacterial LSU rRNA". It matches the Rfam family "Bacterial large subunit ribosomal RNA". Lineage: Bacteria; Pseudomonadati; Pseudomonadota; Gammaproteobacteria; Enterobacterales; Enterobacteriaceae. The record is from RNAcentral.